GAGUAGAUUAAGUGGACAGAGGAUCCGUGGGCUCCGUGGGGACAGCCGGUGGUUGGGGAUGGCGGAUGUGAAGUUGGGUGCCUUUGCGGUCACGCGUGGGAGAUCCCUGGAUCAGGCGUUAAAGUUAAGCAUUUUUGUCAUCUAUCAAUAAUUUUACCAAGUCGUGAUCAUAUCCCCUGUGGAGUAAGAAGAACCUGCUUCUGCCUCUAAGUUAGGUUCAGGAUAGACAGAAGACAGAGCAUAUUCCAUUGUUGCUAGCCCUUUCUUAAUAACAGAAGAAAAUGACCAAAGCCGAGGUGAGUUUUGUUUUACCUAUUUAAUCCUGUGUUUCUCAACACAUAUGUCGAAAAAGACUGUCUGGUUAAGGGAGACAGUAUAUGUUGAUAGAAAUCAGUAUCUGUCAAAAAAUAAGUUUGAGUUAUAAACAUGCAAUCUGGUCAAAUUAGGAAGCGAGGUAGGUAGGACAUGGUAUUUGUGCAGCAUUCUUAAUGUUGAAACAGCAGAGUGACUGUGUGUAAGACCCCAUAGGUUGCCUUUGCUUUGAACUGUAUCUUCUGUUGGCAGCUGUAAUAACAAGAAAAACAUGAAGCGUGUCAUGAUAGCAAUGAGAAGAAGCCAAGGCAGUUUUUCAGAGGAAGUAAACAUGUUGUUGCUCUUAGAUCUUAAGAAACAUAUUUUUCAGGAAGGUUUUGUGGUAGAUAGUGUCUUCCAAAUCGCCCUUGUAAUAAAGGUAAAGGAUGUUUUAUUUUGCUUUAUCUUAUGAUUCCUUGGGUCAGCUAAGAAGAUAAUGCCAAAAGAAAACUGGAUUGGACAAAAUUCUUCAAACACAGUAUGCCUUGAAAAUAGAGCCUUCUGGUUGUCUGACUUUAACUGGAAAUAAAGCCUGGAUUAUCCAGUAGAAUGAGUGGGCUGCUUGAGCUUUAAAUGGUCUCCCAUGAAGAAGCAUUCUCUCAACGAGAUAUUUGUUAGUGAAUUGUCAGAAGCUGGCUGAAAGUUCCAUUUUUUGGUAAUAGUUUGGAACACAGGCACUGACAGUGCUUCUUUUUUAGCUUCUUAACCUCAGGUUCAAAAAUGAGGUAGUGCCAAUGAUUCUAGUUUUGUUUUCAUAAUUCUUUUUAAUGAAUUU
Molecule: long non-coding RNA, 1126 nt
Organism: Carlito syrichta (Philippine tarsier)
Lineage: Eukaryota; Metazoa; Chordata; Mammalia; Primates; Tarsiidae
Exons: 3
Source: RefSeq, a predicted model, not a curated record